UAUGAAAGGAGGAGAAGUGUCACCUCCAGGCCACCACAGUGAGAAGCCUGCUCAUCAUAGAACAGUGUUUUCUAGAAGUUCUAGAAACUUCCGAGUUCUCUCCCGCUGCCUGGGUGAUUGCAGAAGAUUCCCACUGCUUGAUGUGCAGUCACAGAUGGAAGCAGCCUGGAUCCCGAGUCACUGAUGGAAAAGUCGCCCAGAGCAGCGACACCCUUUAUGGAACUGAAAAAUCAACUUUUCGUCUGCUAAGCUGCUAUAAUUUUUGAAAUUGCUUUUUUUUAAUUGAGAUAAAAUUGACACAGAACAUUAUGUUAGUUUUAGGUGUACAACAUAAUGAUUCAGUGUUUGUAAUGGAAUUGCUUCUUUAUUGCAGCAAAGCAUAGCCCAUCCUUAGCAGUUCCCCAACGUUUUGGUUACAAAUUUGGAAAAGUCCUCCUGGCUGCCAUGGCUUCAGAAUCUGUUUGCCAUUAUGAUAUUCUGCUCCUUCUUUAUUUUUGGAUUCCAGGAAUUUCCCCAUUUCUUUAGAAGCUUAUUCAUGGACUCAAGUUGCUUUCAAACAUAGUAAGGUUUUUCAGUAUAGUGUCCAUAAUAUUGAUAGGAAAUUAUAUCUGAAAAGUGAUUUUUAAAAGCAUACUUUUACGCUAUAUAAUAAAUAUAUUGAAGGAGAGAAAAUUCAAAACUGCCCCUAAAGAAAGAAUGUGAAAAGUUUCUUGGGAACGUUAAGAAACAAAUAUAAAACAAAGAAAAAGAAAAAACAGGUCCCGUAUCCAGAUACUUACUGUUGUAUAUUCCCCUAUUACAGGGCACUUAGAAUUAAUUCACUGUUUAUUUCCAUGGGUUUUCACUGUGUUUGUCCCAUGUAACCCAGGGCCAACUGAAAAUUAUAGGAGUUUUGGGUUAAUGAGCAAUUGACAGAAUUAUUACCUUGGGUUUUAAAACCAGACAGAAAGGUAGGUGUGACAAUUUGGUUCUCCAUUCUGCAUAAUGCCUGAAAUAGGAGCUCCACCACGCCAGCCCCUGCUCUCAGACCUCCCUGAUUCCCCAUCCAAACUCCGUAGCAUGGCACAGGGCCCUUACAUGUGGCGCUGGCUCGUCUGUACCUCCUUGCCUCUCAGCAGUCCCUGCCUCCCACCAGCACUCUGCUCCAGCCAAGUCAGAAGACACCAGAAGCUUCCAUGGCUUUCCAGGCUCUGUGUGCUCUAUAAGGUGACAACUGCCUUUCUUGCACUGGAAAGUGAGCCCCUUGAGACAACAGAUAAGGCAGAGGAAAGCGAAGUCCAGGGUGGAGAGAGAGGAGCCCGGACCACAACUCUACACUGCUGGGUCCAGCCAUGUCUGAAGACUUGCCCGUCACGUCACAUAACAACUGUUUUUUUCCAAGUGAAUUUUAGUUCAAUUUCUGCAACUGAAAAAGGCCUGAUAUAGCACUGCUUUAUGGGAAAUGCAUAUAACACAUCUCAGCUAUGUGGAUAUUUACACUCAAUUUGAGAAAUAAGAUACAUAUGGAAGAGAAGAGAAUGUAAAAGAUGAUAUAAAUUAAAUGGGGAGAUACUUGAAGCCAGUUAAUUUUGGUCUGUUCUCCAGAUUAAAAAUUUCC
RNAcentral lists this long non-coding RNA (1597 nucleotides) under Equus caballus (horse). Its description in RNAcentral is "lncRNA (ENSECAG00000050865.1)". The record is from RNAcentral. Lineage: Eukaryota; Metazoa; Chordata; Mammalia; Perissodactyla; Equidae.